AUGACAGGUUUCUUUCAUGAGAACAUGUUAGGAAAUGUGCAUGUGAUUUCCCUGCUUUUUAAGGGUUAAAAAAUCAGGUGAUGUAGGCUUGCCCAGUAGGGGGCUGCAAGAUGAAUAGGGAAAGCUGAGGGGUUUUUUUACAACUAAGGUUAAAAAAAGAAAAAAGGCACAACCCUCCUCAGAGCAUCCAGAGGCCUGCUGAAAAAGGUCCCUGGGAGCUAAGUUAGGCUGAGAGAGAAGCGACAGGCCCAGAGUCACCCAGCAAGUAUCGUAGCUGAACGGGGAUUUGAACUCCCCAGUCCUGUGAUUAAACACAGGAGGAAAUUAAUAGCUUAAGUGGUUGUUUUGUUGAUAUCUAAUGUAUGUCUGGUAGACCUGGCCAGAAGGUGUAGCCGUGAAGGGGAAAGAGGGUUGGAGACAGGGGCGUAACUACCAUUAGGCAAGGGGAGGCGGCUGCCUGGGGCCCCCCACACCUCGAGGGGCCCCCCAGAGGUAAGUCACAUGUGAAGUGAGUGUGUGUGUAUCAGCAAAGGGCCCCUUUUAAAAUUUUGUCUCUGGGCCCACUCCAGCCUCGUUACACCCCUGGUUGAAGAUGUAUUGAUACUACGAACCAAAGCGUUGCAUGGGUGGCUAGCUACAAGGAGGCAAAUAGUUCUUUUAAAAAUGCCAGUAGUGAAGCCAAAACAAUUUAUUCAUGCUAAAUAAACAGAAAGAAAUUAUUUCAGAAUGCAUUUCUUUAUAUGUUGUAGUAGCUUAUGCUGCUAAAUACACAUUCUACUGUCAUCUACCUUUCUCUGCAAUCUGAAGUGUUUUCUACUGAGCAAUACAACAUUUAAAACUGUUAUACCAAUAUGCUGCUUUAUUCAUUCAUUCAUUCAUUCAUUCAUUUAUAUCCUGCUCUUCCUCCAAGGAGCCCAGAGCGGUGUACUGCAUUCUUGAGUUUCUCCUCACAACAACCCUGUGAAGUAGGUUAGGCAUGUGCACCUUCAAUCAUGUUUUCUCCUUAUUUUUCUUGAAUGUGAAAAUAUUUGUUCAAACUUGCAGAUGUGGAGGUAACACAAUUAAUAUAUUCUAAACAAGGGGGAAAUUAGCCUUAAAUUGUUUUUCUACACUUUGAAAGAAAGAAAGAGGAAGGAAAAAAUGCCAGCAGUGAACUGAAAACUUGAGCAGCAGCCAUUUUGAGAUUGGUGGUUGUAAGAGUUGCCUGUAUUAAGUAAACUUUGUUUGAUCCACA
Molecule: long non-coding RNA, 1234 nt
Organism: Hemicordylus capensis (graceful crag lizard)
Lineage: Eukaryota; Metazoa; Chordata; Lepidosauria; Squamata; Cordylidae
Exons: 3
Source: RefSeq, a predicted model, not a curated record